Molecule: ribosomal RNA, 843 nt
Filed under: Levilactobacillus brevis
Lineage: Bacteria; Bacillati; Bacillota; Bacilli; Lactobacillales; Lactobacillaceae
Description: bacterial SSU rRNA
Rfam family: Bacterial small subunit ribosomal RNA
Source: RNAcentral
UGCAGUCGACGAGCUUCCGUUGAUGACGUGCUUGCACUGAUUUCAACAAUGAAGCGAGUGGCGAACUGGUGAGUAACACGUGGGGAAUCUGCCCAGAAGCAGGGGAUAACACUUGGAAACAGGUGCUAAUACCGUAUAACAACAAAAUCCGCAUGGAUUUUGUUUGAAAGGUGGCUUCGGCUAUCACUUCUGGAUGAUCCCGCGGCGUAUUAGUUAGUUGGUGAGGUAAAGGCCCACCAAGACGAUGAUACGUAGCCGACCUGAGAGGGUAAUCGGCCACAUUGGGACUGAGACACGGCCCAAACUCCUACGGGAGGCAGCAGUAGGGAAUCUUCCACAAUGGACGAAAGUCUGAUGGAGCAAUGCCGCGUGAGUGAAGAAGGGUUUCGGCUCGUAAAACUCUGUUGUUAAAGAAGAACACCUUUGAGAGUAACUGUUCAAGGGUUGACGGUAUUUAACCAGAAAGCCACGGCUAACUACGUGCCAGCAGCCGCGGUAAUACGUAGGUGGCAAGCGUUGUCCGGAUUUAUUGGGCGUAAAGCGAGCGCAGGCGGUUUUUUAAGUCUGAUGUGAAAGCCUUCGGCUUAACCGGAGAAGUGCAUCGGAAACUGGGAGACUUGAGUGCAGAAGAGGACAGUGGAACUCCAUGUGUAGCGGUGGAAUGCGUAGAUAUAUGGAAGAACACCAGUGGCGAAAGGCGGCUGUCUAGUCUGUAACUGACGCUGAGGCUCGAAAGCAUGGUAGCGAACAGGAUUAGAUACCCUGGUAGUCCAUGCCGUAACGAUGAGUGCUAAGUGUUGGAGGGUUUCCGCCCUUCAGUGCUGCAGCUAACGCAUAAGCACU